CAGUCGCCGCGGUAAUACAGAGGGUGCGAGCGUUAAUCGGAUUUACUGGGCGUAAAGCGUGCGUAGGCGGCUUCUUAAGUCGGAUGUGAAAUCCCUGAGCUUAACUUAGGAAUUGCAUUCGAUACUGGGAAGCUAGAGUAUGGGAGAGGAUGGUAGAAUUCCAGGUGUAGCGGUGAAAUGCGUAGAGAUCUGGAGGAAUACCGAUGGCGAAGGCAGCCAUCUGGCCUAAUACUGACGCUGAGGUACGAAAGCAUGGGAAGCAAACAGGAUUAGAUACCCCCGUAGUCCCUGUCUCUUAUAC
Molecule: ribosomal RNA, 301 nt
Filed under: uncultured bacterium
Lineage: Bacteria
Description: partial 16S ribosomal RNA
Rfam family: Bacterial small subunit ribosomal RNA
Source: RNAcentral